GGGGGCGUUUCUGGAUUCGACAGGGGUCCCCCGAGCUCAUUAAGCGUGUCGGAGGGUUGUCUUCGUCAUCAACACACACAGUUUAUAAUAACUGGCAAAACAAACAAUAAUUUCGCAGUAGCUGCCUAAUCGCACUCUGCAUCGCCUAACAGCAUUUCCUAUGUGCUGUUAACGCGAUUCAACCUUAAUA
This 190-nucleotide transfer-messenger RNA is filed under the name Staphylococcus aureus. RNAcentral describes it as "partial transfer-messenger RNA". It matches the Rfam family "transfer-messenger RNA", at positions 1 to 197 of the family's 374-position model. Rfam says of the family: Bacterial tmRNA, also known as 10Sa RNA or SsrA, is named for its dual tRNA and mRNA-like properties. Its role is to liberate the mRNA from a stalled ribosome. The record is from RNAcentral. Lineage: Bacteria; Bacillati; Bacillota; Bacilli; Caryophanales; Staphylococcaceae.